Molecule: non-coding RNA, 92 nt
Organism: Hypoxylon sp. CI-4A
Lineage: Eukaryota; Fungi; Ascomycota; Sordariomycetes; Xylariales; Hypoxylaceae
Source: the annotation of a GenBank genome assembly
GCCUGGCUGGCUCAAUGGUAGAGCAUCAGACUUCUACUAACAAUGAAGAUAUUCCAAUCUGAAGGUUGUGGGUUCGAGUCCCACGUCGGGUG